ACUUGUAGUAGUCGGUCGAGUUUUUGAAAUAAUUCAUCCACCCUACUAUCGAUGUUUAUGGAAUGACCUACCUCAUAAAUUCCAUCUUUUUUUAGUCCAAUCAUGGGAGGGUCUCUACAGGCGACAGACAUGUGGUGUAAUGAGUUUUCACUAAAGGUCUCAAAUAGCUGUCAGGUCUUAUGCUCACUUUUAAGCAUGAACAUCCCACCA
Molecule: long non-coding RNA, 210 nt
Filed under: Elaeis guineensis (African oil palm)
Lineage: Eukaryota; Viridiplantae; Streptophyta; Magnoliopsida; Arecales; Arecaceae
Description: long non-coding RNA (EGUI_LNC027566)
Source: RNAcentral